This 280-nucleotide ribosomal RNA is filed under the name Streptococcus agalactiae. Its description in RNAcentral is "partial 16S ribosomal RNA". It matches the Rfam family "Bacterial small subunit ribosomal RNA", at positions 1 to 271 of the family's 1533-position model. Lineage: Bacteria; Bacillati; Bacillota; Bacilli; Lactobacillales; Streptococcaceae. The record is from RNAcentral.
UUUAAUGAGAGUUUGAUCCUGGCUCAGGACGAACGCUGGCGGCGUGCCUAAUACAUGCAAGUAGAACGCUGAGGUUUGGUGUUUACACUAGACUGAUGAGUUGCGAACGGGUGAGUAACGCGUAGGUAACCUGCCUCAUAGCGGGGGAUAACUAUUGGAAACGAUAGCUAAUACCGCAUAAGAGUAAUUAACACAUGUUAGUUAUUUAAAAGGAGCAAUUGCUUCACUGUGAGAUGGACCUGCGUUGUAUUAGCUAGUUGGUGAGGUAAAGGCUCACCAA